GGAUUUGGACCUAUUCUUAUCUCUUGUUGAAAGCUGCAGGCUCCUCUCUAGACAGAUGAGGCUGAAGAUAAGGACACAACAUUGAAAAACUGAGAAACAGCUCGUUAGGAAAUAACUACCCAAAACACCAGAAGAGGCCAAAGAAAGACUUGAUUUCCACUCAGCUCCAGGAUGCCAACUCCUGAAUCUGACAAUAAUACCAUCUAACGAAGGGCUAAAGACCAAGCCAUACAAGCACGCUGUGUACAAAGCUGCCCAUGGCUGAAGAAAGAUCAUUGAUUCACUACAUCUCAUUUGGGAAUUUCCCUCAUCUUCCGUAUCUUUCUAAAAGACUCAUAAUCAAGCUGAAGGGUAAUCUGUUCUUCUGGAGUAGUUUUUUUGACAGUAUCUCCCAUUAUAACUAUACUUCAUUUGAAACACUACAACAUUAACUGGAAAGAGG
This 442-nucleotide long non-coding RNA is filed under the name Gallus gallus (chicken). Its description in RNAcentral is "lncRNA (ENSGALG00010010691.1)". The record is from RNAcentral. Lineage: Eukaryota; Metazoa; Chordata; Aves; Galliformes; Phasianidae.